RNAcentral lists this ribosomal RNA (439 nucleotides) under uncultured bacterium. RNAcentral describes it as "bacterial SSU rRNA". It matches the Rfam family "Bacterial small subunit ribosomal RNA", at positions 772 to 1207 of the family's 1533-position model. The record is from RNAcentral.
ACCGAAUAGAUACCCAGGUAGUCCACGCCCUAAACUAUGCGAACUGGAUGUUGGGUACAUUACGGUACUCAGUGUCGAAAGCUAAACGCGUUAAGUUCGCCGCCUGGGGAGUACGGUCGCAAGACUGAAACUCAAAGGAAUUGACGGGGGCCCGCACAAGCGGUGGAGUAUGUGGUUUAAUUCGAUGCAACGCGAAGAACCUUACCUGGCCUUGACAUCUGUCGAAUCCUGCAGAGAUGCGGGAGUGCCGCAAGGAACGACAAGACAGGUGCUGCAUGGCUGUCGUCAGCUCGUGUCGUGAGAUGUUGGGUUAAGUCCCGCAACGAGCGCAACCCUUGUCCCUAGUUGCCAGCACAUCAUGGUGGGAACUCUAGGGAGACUGCCGGUGACAAACCGGAGGAAGGUGGGGAUGACGUCAAGUCCUCAUGGCCCGUUACGG